UCCGGAUUAGCUCAGUCGGUAGAGCACCUGACUGUUAAUCAGGCUGUCGCCAGUUCGAGUCUGGCAUCCGGAGUUC
RNAcentral lists this transfer RNA (76 nucleotides) under Limosilactobacillus fermentum. RNAcentral's name for it is "Lactobacillus fermentum tRNA-OTHER". It matches the Rfam family "tRNA". Rfam says of the family: Transfer RNA (tRNA) molecules are approximately 80 nucleotides in length. The record is from RNAcentral. Lineage: Bacteria; Bacillati; Bacillota; Bacilli; Lactobacillales; Lactobacillaceae.